This 29-nucleotide non-coding RNA is filed under the name Cricetulus griseus (Chinese hamster). Lineage: Eukaryota; Metazoa; Chordata; Mammalia; Rodentia; Cricetidae. The record is from RNAcentral.
CACCCUGUAGUAAUACAAACGCUAUUUAC